CUCGCGAGCUCGUGAACAGGUCCCGGUGUCCGAGGGGUGAAACAGGGAAGUCGGUGCGUUGUGCGUGUUCACGCCAACCAUUCCGACGCUGCCCCCGCAACGGUAGACGAGUCAAACCAGCGCGUUUCAACCACUGUGCUUUAGGAGCCUGUCGGACUUAACACUGUUCUACUGCGGAAAAACCGAUUCGGCCAUUUUUGCCGCUCUUUCUCGUUAAAUAGCUAGCUAUUCGCCUCGAAAGAUCAACAAAACUGACUCGAACCGGACUUUCCCUCGCUACGAACGGUCAAGCCCGACAGGCUCCUCGCAUGGGAAGGUGCGUUUUGGUCGCGUUCUGAAUCUUCAGUUCGCCGCUCGUAAGCCCGGAGACCGGCCUGCUGCAGUCCACGGCA
Molecule: non-coding RNA, 392 nt
Filed under: Pseudomonadales bacterium
Lineage: Bacteria; Pseudomonadati; Pseudomonadota; Gammaproteobacteria; Pseudomonadales
Source: RNAcentral